CCCAGCCUCCCGCCAGAGGCUCGGCUCGCGCGGCGCGGCGCGGCCGCUGCGACUUCCUGGAGUUCUGCCUGCCGGGGGCGCGGGCGGGUGUGUGAGAGAGACGGCGAGGGGAGCCGCGGGGUGGGAGAGGAGGGAGUCCCGGCGGGAGGGCGGGGGAGAGGCUGGCGGGAGGGGGGCUCCACGGAGCUCCAGCCAGGGCCGCGGUGCGCCUGCACGUCACGGCUACUCAAACCCAAGCACGUCCCGAAAGCGGUAUUUUCUGCGUCUGGGAGGUUUUUGCAUCCUCAGUUCCCACCGCUGGGGCUGGCGGCGACCAACUGUAAGAGAAACUCACUGGGAGGCGAGGCAGGGGGGUGCGGAGGAUGGGAAGGCGACUCUGAAGGGUGGGAAGUGAAUGCUGGACUUGAUCGUCUUUCUCUGUCUUUCAGCGCAGACCUGUCGCAGCCAGAGAGCUGUUAUUUCAGAACCGGGAUUCAGAAUUGAUCCAGUCCGCAGCGGAGGGGGCACAUCCCACCUCCCGAGCUGCUGAGUGUCUCUGGCUGGAACAAUAGUAUUUUUUUCUCUGCGAGGCUGCAAUUAACAUCUUAUUUGUUCUGGCUCCAUACAGGCUUUGUCAGGAUCGCGGUGCGGCGACCGAGGUUGGGCCCUUGCAUUGCUUUCUGCUUGGCAAUGGAAUCAUGGUUUCGGGGUCUAAACUUUUAUUUCGUUUUGUAGUCUUAAUGUAUCUGAUUCUUUUUCAAGUUUCCCUAGUUACAGGUUUGGGGACGGGGUGGGAAGAAACGAGAAAAGGGGUGAAGAGAAACAACCAGAUUAUAUAGAAAGGGAAAAGGGAUGUUUCCCCACCCUUUAAUCUAUCUAUCUAUCUGCCUGUCUAUCUAUCACUUAUCUAUCAGUCAUUUUGCCUCCUGGACAGUUGGCUGACGAAGUGUCCGAUAAAUCAGCUUCAGAUACAUGCUACAAAAGGUCAUUCGCCUCCUGAUUAUGCUUCUACUUGUAAACGCAGUUGGUGGUUUGCAAAACAAGUGCUAAAAUAGUGCAGUGAUGUGGUGGGAGGAAACCCUAAUGGGCAAUUCAUAUAAAGUGCUGGAAUCUUCGUAAGGAAGUCCCACUUUACCAUUAAUGAUGACAAUAACUAAAGCUGCCAGGAACAGCACGUCUGCUGACCUUUAUCAGCACCAGAUUCUGUCAUUUUGCCUUCUGGAUCUCCAUGUUCUUUCACACCAACAAACAAGAGGAAGUAUAUUCUCUACCCACUUCCUUGACUGAAGCCUGCUUCUUUAUGAAGACAUGGCGUCUCUUCUAACCAUGUCAAACAGAUGCAAUUUAUGUGUAUGCUGCUUCCAUACCCUGAUUAAAUGGGUCAGUGGCAGAAUCAGUAUCCUUACUCUCCCCUUUGGUUUCAAAUAUUUACUCCUCAUUUCACUUUCAUGCCCACCUUUCUGUAGAGAUCAAGGCAUCUGCCUUUGCAGCUUUACCUAUUCCUCCAGGUUAUAUUUUCCAUUCAUGGAAUCUUUUAGCUGCUGGCUUGCAGUUUUCCUGUCUACCUGACUUCCAUUCCUCUUCUCAUGACUUCAGCUCCCAUGUAGAUGUCUUGUCCUGACACACUAGCUUCUCCAUUCUAUUUCUAUGUGUGUGUGUGUUUUUUUCCUACUAGUUCAACCACAUUUCCCUAUGGUCUUUAACUAAAAAGUCUAACCAGUGACUAAACUGCUUCCAGUAUUUAAAAUUUAAUGUUUCAAUUCUCUAAUUACAACCUUCUGCUUUUAUAAACUCACAUGGAAUCAAGUCUUUCACAAAAUUCAGGUCUUUUUUAUAUUAUUAGUCAUCCCCACCAAUUUCUGCUCUUAUCUUUACUUUCCUCCUUAUACCCUGUGGUAAGCAGCCUCUAACAUGGACCCUAAUGAUCCCUACUUCCUGAUAUGUGUGUCCUUGUGUAAUUGUCUCUCUCUUGAAUGUGGGCUAGAUUUAGAAAUUUGCUUUUAUCAAACAGAAUAUGGUAGUAGCAAUGGGAUGUUAAGAUAUAAAAUGACUGUGUUUUCCAUCUCGGGAGCUCCUUUACUCUUCCUUAGAGCAUUUGUUUGCCAGUAAGCCAGGUGCCAUGUUGUGAUACAGUCCUAAAUAGAGAAGUCCAUGUGAGUUUGGCCUUCGAGGCCUGUCAAAAGACACAUGAGUGAGCUCAGAAGUGGAAGCUGCCUCAUUCAAGUCUUGAGAGGACUGCAGCCCAGCCAACAUCUUGGUUGCCGCUUCGUGACAGGCUUGAGCCAGAAUCAAGCAGCUAAGCUGCUUCUGUAUUCCUGACCUACAGACACUAUAGAUCAGGAAUGUUUGUGGCUUCCAACUGCUAAAUUUGGGGAUAAUUUGUUAUGCAAAUGUAGGUAACUAAUGUAUAUCCCAUGGAUUCCAUGCCCAUUGUUAUAAUAAUUUACUUACAACAAUCUUCAGCUAUUUACUACAUUUUCCUGGCUGGAUCACCAUGUUUACUGUGAUGGACAACUGCCUUUCCUGAUCUAGGACCUAUGCAGCAGAGCAUUACUGAAGAAAUUCACACCCUCAGGCAGUUAGAUGUCCCUGUAAAGUUAUAGUCACCAGGUUUUCACGAUCUCACCACACAGACUGUUACUUAUAAGCUCCCUCUCUUAUUACACCCUAUGAAUAUUUUGUAACUUUUCUUUGAUCAUUAAAAAUGCUUCUCCUCAACUCUUGAAUGAUAAGUGAUAACCUUUUUUCAUUCAUUAUUUAUAAAACAGAUGUGAUUAGAUGGAAAAUACCUUAUAUUCAUUAAACUGACUGUACCUUCACCCAUUUUCUCCUGUCUUCCUUAUCUAAGAAGCCAUCCCCUCCACAGGUAACUUGGAUCUUACUUCUAUUGGCUCUCACACCAAUAAUCUCUCCCUCUCUCCUGGACCACUUCCAUCAGCAUACAUAUUUUAUAGCAAUACUACCCGUCUAAAAACUUCUGAUCAACAACCUGUUUCUCAGAUACCCUUCAUAACGAAUCUUUUUUUAAAAAGCAAUCACAUUCAGUUCACUUCCUCACUUCCCUCUCAUUUCUCAGCUCAAUCCAUUCUGGCUUCCACCCCCACAAUUCCACUGAAAAAAUUCUUGUCAAAAAUCACUAAAGACCUUCAUGUUGCCAAGUUAAAGGAAUAAAUGUUUUUCUCAUCUUACUCUAAUUUUCAGCAGCAUUUUAAAUGCAAUGCCCUCGCUUUGGAAACCACUUCUAUUUUCAUUUCUGUUUUAUCAUACUCUCCCAGAUGUACUUUUACAUCACUGAUCACUGUGAAGACACUGAGACACUUCUCAGUGUCUUUUGCUUGUUCUUCUUCCACAUUAACUUGAAAUGCUGACUGCUUUAGAGAUUAAAUAUUGGAUGUACUUCCCUUAUUUCUCUACCACCUCCCCUUUGGUGAUCUAAUCCACUCCCUAAUAUUGAAUAAUAGGGAGUGAAUAAUCCAUUCCCUAAUAAGUAUGUAUAUGUACAUACAUGCAUACACACAUGAACAGACACCCCAUGUAUAUUCCUUUAACAAGGAUAUCUCCUCUGAGCUCUAGAUUUUUAAAUAAUCAACUGCCGUGAUUUAUAUCUCUACUAAAUAUGCCUCACAGUCAUCUCAGAUUUGGGGUAAUUAAAGGAAAAUUCCUGAUUACUCCAAAGAAAUGUGCUCUUCCCUCAGUCUUUAUGUUUCAGGAAAUGGCAUCCCUAUCCACCUAGUUAUUCCAUUGGCAAACAUGGAAAUCAUACCUGCUGCUAAUUUUCUAUCACUCUACAUCUAAUCCCUUGACAAAUAUUGCCUGUUCCACUUUGUAGAAGUUUCCUAGGGCUGCCAUAAUAAAAUUCCACAAUGUGGGUGGUUUAAGCAACAGAAAUUUAUUUUUUUCACAGUUUUGGAGGCUAGGUGUCUAAAAUCAAGGUCCAUAUUGGAUUGGGUCCUCUGGGGCCUCUUUCUCUGGCUUGCACAUGGCUGCCAUCUUGCUGCCUCUUCAGAUGGGGUUGGGGUGUGCAGAGAUGGGCACAAUUCAGCUCAUGAUAUAACUUCAAUACAUAGAUGUCACACCUAACCAGUUCUUUCUUUUUUCACUGUUAUCUUUUGUGUGUGUGUGUGUGAAGUACGUAGUUUUUGCUUAGUCUCUUCUACCUGGCAUUCAAUAUUCUUUGUUAAUCUAUCUCUAAUAAGUUAUACUUCAAAAAUGUAUCCCUUUAAAAUCAAAUGGAAAAACAUUUUAAUUCCAGGUACUUCUCACAUAGCACAAAUAAUAAAAUCCAAACUUUUAAUCAUGACUGGCAGUGCCCUACCUCAUCUGAUUCUCGCUCCCCUCUCUAACUUCAUCUUGUGCCACACUUCUGCUUACAUAUAAUGCCCAAGCUACAUUCACCUUUUUCUGAGUCAUGAGGAUGCUACAUUUUUAUCUCCUUACAAUCUUCCAGUGUCAGGAUCAUUCUACCUGGAAUACACUUCCCCUUUUCUACUGCUAGGAGAAACUUUAUAGGCCUGAACUGCCCGCUUCUCAUGCCUCAGAUUUCAUCUUGAAAAUUCCCUUUUCAGAGCUUUUAAAAUUUUUUUUUUAACAACCCAAUCUAUAGUGCUCUCUCC
Molecule: long non-coding RNA, 4592 nt
Organism: Nomascus leucogenys (northern white-cheeked gibbon)
Lineage: Eukaryota; Metazoa; Chordata; Mammalia; Primates; Hylobatidae
Exons: 3
Source: RefSeq, a predicted model, not a curated record